Molecule: non-coding RNA, 3380 nt
Organism: Ictidomys tridecemlineatus (thirteen-lined ground squirrel)
Lineage: Eukaryota; Metazoa; Chordata; Mammalia; Rodentia; Sciuridae
Source: RefSeq, a predicted model, not a curated record
CGCAUGUGCGGGCCGUUUCAAACCCCGCAGCGCGCGGGUCUUCUUGUUUUUUGAGGGCGGAACCAAUUGGGCAGGGAGUGACGGAAGCGCGUGCACCCGGGAAUUCAGGGGUGUUCCUGGGCCUGGGUCUAACCGCCUGUCAGGUGUUUGGGUAUGUGCUUUGCCUUCUCCGGUAGUAGCCCCGGUGGACUUCCUCCUCAGAUUCCCUGCGUGGGCGGAGCCAGGGCCGGAACAUGGCGAAGUCGGGUCUGGAUCAUCUCAAAAAUGGCUACAGAAGAAGAUUUUGCCGACCUUUCAGGGUACCCGACAUUAAUACAGGGCAAGGCAAAAACAUGCUGGAAAUCUUACAAGACUGUUUUGAAGAAAAAAGUCUUACCAAUGAUUUUAGCAUAAAUUCUACAAAAUCAGUGCGUUAUUCGACACCCAGAGUGAAAGACAAUUCUAUUCAUUCCUCAAGCAAAGAGAAAUCACAUUCAAAGUCAGUUCCAGUUUCUUCAAGGAAGAAGGAAGCCCCUCUGCAAGACAUUAUAGAACCAAAUGAAACUGCCCACAAAUCAGUACAAGGCCAUGAAGUUCUUCAGAAAAUCCUGGCAACUGAUAUUGUUUCUAGAAAUACACCCGACUUGAAAAAAAAGUCAAGUAAAAAACCAAGUGACCAUCCUAGUGAAGCUGAGGAAGAAUUUUAUUUAUCUGUUGGCUCACCUGCUGUUCUUUUGGAUGCAAAAACAUCUGUAUCACAAAAUACUAGUUCAUCUCUUGCUCAAAAGAGAGAGACUUAUACUUUUGGAAAUUCGUUAAAUAUGCUGUCUUCAAGUACAGAGAUUUCUCUUAAAACCAAAAAAAGGUUAAACUUUGAAGAUAAAGAUAUUUUUAAAAAAGUAGAAAUAGAGAAUAAAGUAUCAGAAGUAGAAAAUAAAAUACCAGAAGGACAACAAGAAAGGAAGCCAUCAGAAACAUUUCAGAAAAGUGUACAGGAUUUGGAACAUGAAAUUCAACCACAAACUAAAAAGAGCUUUUCAACAUUGUUUUUAGAAACUGUAAGAAGAAAAAGUGAAUUCAGUCCCAUUGUUAAGCAUAUAGUGACUGCUCCACCUCAUUCAUCUUCUCCAAAUGAUAUGAAGCUGUUAGAAGAUGAAUUUGUAAUUGAUGAGUCAGAUAAAAGUUUUGCCAGUGGAUCUUGGAUUACAAUACCAAGAAAGGGUGGAUCUCUGAAACAACCCACGAUAUCCCCUGAUGAGAGCACUGCAGUCCUUCAAGGUAAGAAGUCCAGAGAAAAACAUCGAAGUGUAUCACCUAACACUUUGAGAAGUGACCAGCAUUUGCAUAAAGCUCAUCCAGAACAGAAAUUUCAACCCUGUGAUGAAAAAAAAGUGGAUACAAGUUCUUCUUUGACAGAUGAAUUGGAAAAUAAUGACAGAUCUACAAAAUAUGAAAUCUCUUCUGAAAAUGUCAAAAAACCAUCUGAAAACAAAAGGCCAAUAAAACAAAAUCAGAGAAGAAAAUUUAAGGCCAACGUAGUUAAAGAACAGCUUGAUCUGGAACAGUCUAAAGAUAAAAAUGUAAAUAUGUCACACUCUGCUGAAGACAAGUUGCAAAAAAAUUUACACAGAAAUGGAGAAGAUUGUGAAGGGACGAGAAAUGAUAAUAUAUUCAAAACACCUACACUACCUGUAGGAGAUAAGAAAAUAAAUAGAGGCACCAAAAACAAUAAGGAAGAAUCUAGAAAGAAGCAUUUUUCAAGUGAGUCCAAGAAGAAUAAACUUGUACCUGAAGAAGUGACUAUUACUGUCAUGAGAAGUCAUAGGCUUUCCAGGCGUCCAUCUGAUUGGUGGGUGGUAAAAUCAGAUGAAAGUCCUGUUCAUAGCAAUUCUUCAAUAAAAAAUGAAUUAUCAGUGUAUCACAACCCUAGACAAAAAUCUGCUAAGAAAACAAAUCAGUCAUCUAAGAAUACUGGGAAAAAAGCCAUUCCAUUAAAAAAGCAGAAGACAGCUAUGCAAGGCAGCUCAAGAGUACAGAAAUUUUUAAAUGUUAAAGGUUCUGAGUAUAUUAGCAACCAUGAAAAACUUCCCAGUUGUUCCCAGAAUGAGCCAUCAGAAAGUGACAAAGCUGACCUGGCUGCAAAGAAAAGUCUUGAUUGUUCUGGAACUACAGAGCGCUCCAAGGAUCAAUGUGGUGUUACAACUGCACAAAAUGUUCGUUUAAAGUCUCAGACCAGUGACCAUAUUUGCAAGACACCAACAGAGUCUAAUUUGGAUUCUGGAAAGUGUAAAACUUCAGUUUUGGAAGAAAGUGGACCAUCCAGGAUCAAGAACUAUUUAAUGUUUGGGAAGAAUACUUCUGAUGUGUGUGAUGAAGAAGUUCAGGAAAGGUUAGAUGACUCAAGACUGAAAAGAACUAAAGUGUCACCAGAGAAGAAAACACAUCAUAAAUUAAUUUUGCCCUCCAACACACCAAAUGUCCGCAGGACCAAAAGAAUACGUUUUAAACCUUUGGAAUACUGGCGAGGAGAGCGAAUAGAUUAUCAAGAAACAUCAUCAGGAGAAUUUGUGAUUGGUGGAAUAUUGUCCCCAGUCACAAUAACAUCUAAAAGAAAGGCAAAAGGAAACGUGGAAAGAGUCAAAAAAGUAACUAAUAGGAAAAGGAUGUGUCUUGAUAAUGAUGAAAGAAAGAAUAAAUUAAUACUAAAUGUUGAUAUAUCUCUAAGAGAUCCUUUGCAGCCAACACCAGUAAAGGACCCAGAAACAAGAGAGAUUGUUCUUAUGGAUCUUAUAAAGCCACAAGAUACAUAUCAGUUUUUCGUGGAACAUGGUGGAUUGAAAGUAUAUAAAACUUUGGAUACACCUUUAUUUUCUACUGGGAAAUUGAUAUUAGGACCCUAUGAAGAAAAGGGAAAACAGCAUGUUAGCCAAGAUAUAUUAAUCUUUUAUGUUCACUUUGGUGACCUUUUGUGUACUUUAUGUGAAUCAUCUUAUUUAAUAACUACUGGGGAUUCUUUCUAUGUUCCUUCAGGUAAGAAUAACUAAAGACAUUUUAUUUCACAUAGUCUCCAUAUAGUUGUUCAUAUGCAGCAUGAAAAUGGAAGCCUUAGUUGUCGACAGAGUGCAACACAAUUGAUUACAAAGCAGUUUGGUACAUAUUUUUCUUUCAUCAUUAGGUAAUUAUUACAACAUCAAAAAUCUCCUGAAUGAUGAAAGUGUUCUUCUUUUUACCCAAAUUAAGAGAUGAAGAAUGAAGCAAGUUUAAAUAUGUGUGGGUAUUUAUGGAUAUGUGUAUAACAUAUACAUGUACACACAUGUAUAAAGCAGCUUGUAUAGUUGACGUUUAUUUUUGUAAUUACUUGUAUUAUUUUAAAAUAAAAAUUUUAUUCAGCUUUGUGUAAA